GACGAACGCUGGCGGCGUGCUUAACACAUGCAAGUCGAACGGAAAGGCCCUGCUUUUGUGGGGUGCUCGAGUGGCGAACGGGUGAGUAACACGUGAGUAACCUGCCCUUGACUUUGGGAUAACUUCAGGAAACUGGGGCUAAUACCGGAUAGGAGCUCCUGCUGCAUGGUGGGGGUUGGAAAGUUUCGGCGGUUUGGGAUGGACUCGCGGCUUAUCCGCUUGUUGGUGGGGUAGUGGCUUACCAAAGCUUUGACAGGUAGCCGGCCUGAGAGGGUGACCGGACACACUAGGAUGGAGAUAAGGCACAGACUAGAAUGGGAGGCAGCGGUGGGGAAGAGAGCACUAGGGGAGGAAGGCUGAUGCAGCAAAGCAGCGUGGGGGAAGACGGCAUUCGGGUAGUAAACCGAUGUCGCCUGAGACGGGGCGUGAGUGACGGUAACGGGUGAAGAAGCACCGGCUAACUACGUG
RNAcentral lists this ribosomal RNA (468 nucleotides) under uncultured bacterium. RNAcentral's name for it is "partial 16S ribosomal RNA". It matches the Rfam family "Bacterial small subunit ribosomal RNA", at positions 28 to 507 of the family's 1533-position model. The record is from RNAcentral.